GGCGGGGCACAGAGCCCCCAGCUUGCUGGUAUGCACUGUAGCCGAAUCCUGUAGAUCUGGGGCCAGUCGCUGCAGGGGAGGUCUCCCAGGUCUGCAGGCAGCUUUCGCAUGUGCCCUGGCCCUCAGCUCUCCUGUGCCUGCUGCUGGAAUGUGGAAGCUGGCCACUCAGCCCAACUCGGCUUCUUCUGCCCUCCCCCUGCUCCUUUCAGCCAGUCAAUAUCCUGUACUAAAUCCCUUCUGCUUCAAGCACAACUGCACAGUAUGGACACAGGAUGCAGUCAUGAGAUACUUCCCAAACAUCUUCCUGUUGCUUCUUUGAUCUGACCUGGCUCCACUCUCAGAAACUACUGGGCUUCAAAGAGUGAGAGUACAGGACCACGCCAGCUUUUGCAAGAUGAGGUCGAAAGGCCCUGACAGCCGCACGGAAGACUGUAUUUCCACCUUCACCAGUUCUCCUGUUCUAAACUCAGGCUCAGAAGAAGAUCCUGGGGGCUGAGUGGCGGAGUCCUUCUCCCUGACUUCAUGGCGAGGCAGCCAGCAAGACUAGGCAGUAAUUACCCCCCCCAGGUGAUUGUACAAUGUCUGCGGGUGCCUUGCAAAGCUGGUUGGGAGCCAUGUAGAUACGUGCAGGCUGAGAAGUCUCUGCAUGACGGGAUCUGCUGCUGCCUGCACGGCUCUUGCCACCCCCAAGGGGAUGAUAAGGAAAUAACUGGUUGGGCCAUGCCAGAGUUUUUUUUGGUGAUCAUACAUAGGGGACCCAGCCCUAAGAGAGUUAGACCCUGAAGAUCUUAAACAUCCUUGACAUUUACAUAGCAAACACCAGUGUUUGAAACAUUUGGAAUAAAUCUACAGAUGGAGCACCAGAUUUCAUUGUGUUUCUAAUGGCAAAUGUGGAUGUGAACUGAGAUUGCGUAAAACUAAAAGUCCCCUAACAGGACUUCCCUGGUGCUGUAAGAACAGUUCUUUUCAUGGCCAGACUGUAAAACCAGCAAAGGAUGCUAUAUUAUACGACUGUAUCAGAAAAGUGCUUCCCCCUCCCCAAAUAAAUUUACUAAGAGUUGACUCUAAGACUUAGUUCAGGGCUUCCCUGGUGGCUCAGUAGUAAAGAAUCUGCCUGCCAAAUGCAGGAGAGACACAGGUUCGAUCCCUGAUCCAGGAAGAUUCCGCAUGCCACGGAGCAACUAAGCCGGUGCUCUGCAACUACUGAGCCUGUGCUCUAGAGCCCAUGAGCCGCAAUUACUGAAGCCUGCUAGACCUAAGGCCCGUGCUCCACAACCAGAGAAGCCGCCACAGUGAGAGGCCCGAGCACCGCAGCUAGAGAGCAGCCUCCACUUGUCACAACUAGAGAAAACCCCCCCAACAACAGACCCAGGACAGCCAAAAAUACGUGAAAUUAUAAAAAAAGAUUUAAAGAAGAAAAGUCCUGUGACAAAAGCAGAGAGAGGGGGAGGGGGUCCUUCAUGAAGCCUUUGCACCGUUGGAACUUUUAAACCAGAUGCAUGUACCAUUGUGACCAUGUUCAGUAGCUUAUUAAAGAUGAGAAACAAAUCAUUUAUAUCCAGCCAGCAGCCCACGGCAAGGCACAAAAGGCAACCUGGGCCUUCGGAGUCUGGGGACCGUAUUUCAAGACAUCCCUGAUGUGAAGUACUUGGUGUUUCUUGAAGAUGGAGGCUAUAUACAAAUACCCAUGAUGCUUUUCUCGUAUUCCUUUCCAUUUCACGUUGAAGUCACCAGUUCUUUACUGCUUGUUUCAGGAAGUUUUAAGGAAUAGGCACAGACAUUCAGCUAUCUGAUGCAAAGAACUAACUCACUGGAAAAUGAGAUGCUGAGAUAAGAUUGAAGGCAGGAGGAGAAGGGGCAACAGAGGAUGAGAUGAUUGGAUGACAUCACUGACUCAGUGGACAUGAGUUUGAACAAACUCUGGGAGUUGGUGAUGGACAGGGAAGCCUGGUGUGCUGCAGUGCAUGGGGUCGCAAAGAGCUGGACACGACUGAGCAACUGAAUAACAGUAACAACAGUGAAGCUUUUCUCUUACCCCGUUUCAUUUCACAUUGAUGUCACCGGUUCUUCACUGCCAGUUUCAGGAAGUUUUAAGGAAUGAGCACAGACAUUCAACCAGAGAAGUGCUCAGAAGGCAAUCAGCCCUCAUAAUCCAAGAUGGCAGAAGCCUAACUCCAAGACCCUUGGCCUCCCCAUAAUCAACCCCUACCAGGAAUGUGGGAGGCAGUGAGCUUAGCACACUGAGUGCUCUGGGCUUUCUGGUCUUUGAGGAUUAAUUACCAUAAGUAGUUGCAGGCAGGCCAGGCUGACCCCUUGCCAAAGGUCAGGCAGCCCCUGGCUCCUCCUGCCUCUUUGUCAGAAAGAAUAUUUUUUAUGACUUGAUAUGAUUUUAAAUCUGUUCUGUAGAAGGCUUUCCCUGGAAGAGGAGAUUCUGACAUUCUGAAAAACAUGUCAGCAGUCUCUGCAAAAGCCAUCAGAACACGGGGUGCCAGUAGCAGUUCUUGGCUGCAUCACAAGUGGCAGGCUCCCUCCUGGGGCCGGAGAGGGCUUGGUGGAGGAUGAAGGCCCAGGUCAGGCUGCCUGUGACUUGCAUCCUGGGCAGGGGCUAUUAGCAGAUCCACGUGGACCCUGGCAGGACACUGGAACCACUGUUGUUCCAGAUAAUUUUCCUUUUUUCCUGCCAGUAAGUCCCAAGGAGUCCACAUACUGUUUCUCCAAGGAUCAUCCCAACCCUGGAAGAAUGGAAACUCCCCAUGUCCCCAAGAAUGAUGGCUUUUCUGGUGUCAGAUGGAUGGUAGAAAGGAUGAGUCUCUUCUAAAUGAACCAAGCACCCCGAGUAAUUUGCCUUUAA
Molecule: long non-coding RNA, 2851 nt
Organism: Bos taurus (domestic cattle)
Lineage: Eukaryota; Metazoa; Chordata; Mammalia; Artiodactyla; Bovidae
Source: Ensembl